This is a non-coding RNA of Labrus bergylta (ballan wrasse), 266 nucleotides long. The record is from RefSeq and is a predicted model, not a curated record. Lineage: Eukaryota; Metazoa; Chordata; Actinopteri; Labriformes; Labridae.
CUGCAACUUCCGCGGCUCGGUGACUCAGGGUCUGGCUCUGGAAGUGGGAGAGACAGUUCAGAUUCUGGAGAAAUGUGAAGGAUGGUACCGAGGAUUCUCAACCAGGAAACCAAAUGUCAAGGGAGUUUUCCCAGCCAGCUACAUCCACCUGAAGAAAGCCGUCGUCACCAACCGAGGGCCUCAUGAGACCGUGGCGCCCCUCGAAGACCCCAUCGUUACCGAGGUGACGUCAACGCUGCAGGAGUGGGCCUUACUGUGGAAGCAGC